CCGACGGUGAGAGAUGAAAGCUGGGGGCACGAACCGGAUUAGAUACCCGGGUAGUCCCAGCCGUAAACGAUGCUCGCUAGGUGUCAGGCAUGGCGCGACCGUGUCUGGUGCCGCAGGGAAGCCGUGAAGCGAGCCACCUGGGAAGUACGGCCGCAAGGCUGAAACUUAAAGGAAUUGGCGGGGGAGCACAACAACGGGUGGAGCCUGCGGUUUAAUUGGACUCAACGCCGGACAACUCACCGGGGGCGACAGCAAUAUGUAGGCCAAGCUGAAGACUUUGCCUGAAUCGCUGAGAGGAGGUGCAUGGCCGUCGCCAGUUCGUACUGUGAAGCAUCCUGUUAAGUC
Molecule: ribosomal RNA, 345 nt
Filed under: uncultured archaeon
Lineage: Archaea
Description: bacterial SSU rRNA
Rfam family: Archaeal small subunit ribosomal RNA
Source: RNAcentral